UGGUGCAAUCAUACCAGCACUAAUGCACUGGAUUCCAUCAGAACUUUGAAGUUAAGCGUGCUUGGACGAGAGUAGUACUAGGAUGGUUGACCUCCUGGGAGUCCUCGUGUUGCAUCCU
Ziziphus jujuba (common jujube) is the source of this 118-nucleotide ribosomal RNA. Lineage: Eukaryota; Viridiplantae; Streptophyta; Magnoliopsida; Rosales; Rhamnaceae. The record is from RefSeq and is a predicted model, not a curated record.